AUAAUGGCAGACGCUCGAAGGAUUAAGGUUCGGAUUGUAAAGCACUUUUGGCAGGGACGAUGAUGACGGUACCAGCAGAAUAAGCCCCGGCUAACUUCGUGCCAGCAGCCGCGGUAAUACGAAGGGGGCUAGCGUUGCUCGGAAUGACUGGGCGUAAAGGGCGUCGUAAGCGGCUGGGCCAGUCAGAUGUGAAAUUCCUGGGCUCAACCUGGGGACUGCCCCCGAGACUUGCCUGCUAGAUUGCGGAAGAGGGUUGUGGAAUUUCCAGUGUAAAAGUGAAAUUCGUAGAUAUUGGAAAGAACACCGGUGGCGAAGGCGGCAACCAGGUCCUUUACUGACGCUGAGGCCCUAAAGCGUGGGGAGCAAACAGGAUUAAAUACCCUGGUAGUCCACGCUGUUAACGAUGUGUGCUGGAUGUUGGGGAACUUAGUCUUUUAGUGUCUGGCUAACACGAUAACACACCGCCUGGGAAGUACGGCCGCAAGGUUGAAACUCAAAAGAAUUG
RNAcentral lists this ribosomal RNA (505 nucleotides) under uncultured bacterium. RNAcentral describes it as "bacterial SSU rRNA". It matches the Rfam family "Bacterial small subunit ribosomal RNA", at positions 386 to 912 of the family's 1533-position model. The record is from RNAcentral.